Lemur catta (Ring-tailed lemur) is the source of this 390-nucleotide long non-coding RNA. RefSeq lists it as uncharacterized. Lineage: Eukaryota; Metazoa; Chordata; Mammalia; Primates; Lemuridae. The record is from RefSeq and is a predicted model, not a curated record. The transcript is spliced from 5 exons.
UGACAGCAAGAGACACAAUCUUCAAACUAUUCCCUUCCAUCAGUGCUGUCCUCCUGCCGGUGUUUCUCCAACUAAUGCAGAUGGAGUGUUGAGAAUGUUCCAGGCCGAGCUGGCAGGGCCCUGUAGGCGUCAUCCUCACACCCCUCAGCAACAGGUGCUGAUGCAACUCUCUGGGGACAGUUUCUGAGAGCCGCUGAUCUGCACUGUCUCUACAGCCCCUUCCGGCUAGAAAAGGAAAAGCCCCAGAUCUUUUUGGCCUCCACCCAGCUCUUCCUCCCCAGAGAAGCCAGGAUGCAGCUGAAGUUCAGCAAUGGCUUCUUCUUGAGUUCAUUGGCCAUAGUUGUUUCACUACCUGGCAAAAGAAAUGGAAUCACCAUGAUUGGUCUAUAC